Molecule: ribosomal RNA, 570 nt
Filed under: fungal endophyte
Lineage: Eukaryota; Fungi
Description: eukaryotic LSU rRNA
Rfam family: 5.8S ribosomal RNA (bases 229-383)
Source: RNAcentral
GAUCAUUACCGAGUUAGGGUUGCCUCCCACGGCGCCCGACCUCCCAACCCUGUGUCUACACUACCUUGUCGUUGCUUCGGCGGACCGGUUCCCGACCAACUGGUUCGCACGACCGCCGGGGUCGGCUCAGCCGUCCUGGAGAGUGUCCGCCGAUGGCCACUUACACAAAACUCUUUGAACAAAAACCUGUCGUCUGAAUUUAUUUUAUUGAUUACACAAUCAAACCAAAACUUUCAACAACGGAUCUCUUGGUUCUGGCAUCGAUGAAGAACGCAGCGAAAUGCGAUAAGUAAUGCGAAUUGCAGAAUUUCCGUGAGUCAUCGAAUCUUUGAACGCACAUUGCGCCCAUUGGCAUUCCGAUGGGCAUGCCUGUUCGAGCGUCAUUAUCCUCCCUCAAAACCUCGUGUUUUGGUGUUGGGCCACGUCGUUGAGACACACGACGGGCCUCAAAGACAAUGACGGCGUCCGUGGGACCCUCGGUGCAACGAGCUUCUUCGUAAGCACGCGUCGAGUUAAGGACCCUCGGGCCCGGUCGCCUCUAGUAUUUUUCUAAGGUUGACCUCGGAUCAG